Long non-coding RNA from Vespa mandarinia (Asian giant hornet), 1408 nucleotides. The record is from RefSeq and is a predicted model, not a curated record. Lineage: Eukaryota; Metazoa; Arthropoda; Insecta; Hymenoptera; Vespidae.
AUGGACAUUUAGUAAGACGUUUUCACUUGGUAUGAAGCAAUGUUACAAAUGAAUUAACUAUAUUUAUCAUUGAAAGAGGAUCAGAAUAAAGUCUGGAAAAACAAUUUGUUAAAAUGUGAAAAAUCCAAAAGAUCUCUAGAAAGAAUAAUAACGGAUCUGAGUCACAAUCGUGCAGAGAAUUGACAAAAUAUUUUCAAAAAAGUAUCCUGUUAAUUGAAUUGGCCAAUAAUUGAUGCUCAGCAAUCUGUUACAUUAUUUAAAAACAAAAGAUGAUGACGUCGAUCCAGAAAUGUAUUAUUAUGCACUGGAUUAUUAUUAAGGAAAUGAACGCAACAGAGGAAUAUUCUGAUGGAAUACAUGGAACGAAACAGAUGGAAUCAUUGUGCAAUAGAUUCGACUGGCUUUCAAUUGGUCCUCAACGAGAAUAUCGCCACUAUAAGAUCAUGCCUCAACACCGUUCAAACCUCUAUGAUUACUGGAUUUUCAUUGAACAGGAACGUGGUUGUUAUUCGUAUGAAAUUAGAAAAGAAAAAUAUCUCAGGAUUCAGGAAUAUCCAUAUGUAUUCGUCACUUAGUCAAUAGUUUCUCUAUCGAAAGAUUCAUCAUACAUGCAAAGAUUGAGAAAAGAAAGAGAACUAUUCAAGAGAUCAUCGGAAUCAUCUUAAGGGACACUGAAGAACAUAACUGCAGUAAAUAUGUAGAGAUGAAAAGAGAGUAAAUUUAUCCUAUCAAAUUUGGUAGCCUAAUAACAAUCCUAAAGGAGAAGAAAAGCAGUUUAUUAUAAAUGAUGCUUAAGAAGAAUUGUCACUGAAGGUUGUGUGAAAACCAAUGGUAAGAAAGCUCAUGUUUGUCAAUUGUCAUGGAAUUUUGUUUCAUCGAUUAUACGAAAUAUAUUUUCUAUUAAUUGAAUGUGGAAAUUGGUUUGUUUCAUGGUGAUAGAAUGAUCGUUGAAAGAAGAAUAAGAUUUGAACCACGUUCUUGUAUCAAUCUUGCUGUGGCAAUUUAUUCUCACACCUAUUUUUAUCUAUUUAAUGAACCAAUUUAGCGAUAGACGCUUUGGUAAGUAAAUGUAUCGUCGAGCAGUGAAAAUAUGUAGAUAUCUGAAAAACAAAAUAAUCAUUAUAGGGAUUCAUCAGUUAAAGUUUCUGUAUUUCCAGUUUUCAAGUUUUUUUUAUGGAAAAGAACAAAAAAUCCAUAUGCUAAAGCAUCAUCGAAGAUUUGAGAGAUUGAUAUCCAUAAUAACGAUAUUAGGAAGCGUUAAGCAAAGCAUUGGCUUAUUUGAUAUUUUUAUUUGACAUUAAGUUGAACGAUUGGAACGAAUAAGUGAUUAAAUUUAUUGCUAUACUAGUGUCAAGUUUUUCAUUAACUAAUUAUUUAUCAUGUUCUGAACAAAAGCUCGAUCACUGAA